Molecule: ribosomal RNA, 477 nt
Filed under: Candidatus Scalindua brodae
Lineage: Bacteria; Pseudomonadati; Planctomycetota; Candidatus Brocadiia; Candidatus Brocadiales; Candidatus Scalinduaceae
Description: bacterial SSU rRNA
Rfam family: Bacterial small subunit ribosomal RNA
Source: RNAcentral
UUCGCAAUGCCCGAAAGGGUGACGAAGCGACGCCGCGUGGGUGAGGAAGGCCUUCGGGUUGUAAAGCCCUGUCAGGAGUUAAGAAAUGUAAGUGUGCCAAUAUCGCAUUUACUUGACGAAGGCUCCAAAGGAAGUCACGGCUAACUCUGUGCCAGCAGCCGCGGUAAUACAGAGGUGGCAAGCGUUGUUCGGAAUUAUUGGGCGUAAAGAGCACGUAGGUGGGUUUGUAAGUCAGAUGUGAAAGCCUCCUGUUCAACGGGUGAAUUGCAUCUGAAACUACGAAUCUUGAGUGUAGGAGGGGAGAAUGGAACUUCUGGUGGAGCGGUGAAAUGCGUAGAUAUCAGAAGGAACGCCGGCGGCGAAAGCGAUUCUCUGGCCUAUUACUGACACUCAGUGUGCGAAAGCUAGGGGAGCAAACGGGAUUAGAUACCCCGGUAGUCCUAGCCGUAAACGAUGGGCACUAAGUAGAGGGGUUUU